Long non-coding RNA from Cebus imitator (Panamanian white-faced capuchin), 4058 nucleotides. RefSeq lists it as uncharacterized. The transcript is spliced from 4 exons. The record is from RefSeq and is a predicted model, not a curated record. Lineage: Eukaryota; Metazoa; Chordata; Mammalia; Primates; Cebidae.
GUGAUGGUCAAUUGUGUCAGCAGGUGUUCUUUGCAUAGUUUGACUUCUCAGCUUGAAUUUCAGAAAGUGCAAAUGAUUUUGGAAUAAGUCAGAGUAUAAACAAACAAAUUAGAAUUGGAAUUUUCUUCUUUUCUUGUUAUCUCCAUCCAUCAGCUCUUAAGGCUUCUGUCUUCAAUAGGAAUAGGCUUAUUUGCUUGCACACAUCAAUCAAAUUUGUCACAGACCUCAUUGAUUCACAUUUCACCACUGCAGUUUAAAAUUGGUUUUCCUCUUCUUGCUACAAGAAUUGUCCUUAAUUAUCAAAAUUAAUGACUUUGAGCUGGUGAAGUUUUUUUUGCUUCAAAUUUUAAGAAGCCUAUAAAUAUCAGACUAUGGGAUAUUAAAAAAAUACAUUUUCCCUCUUUAAACAAACAGAUAAAUGUGGAGAAGGAGCCUGGAACUCUUGUUUCUGAGAUGGCGUCAGUCAUCUUGGCGGCUGCCUUCUGCAGCCUGCGCACUGGAGCCAGUCCAGCCAUAGCUGCCAUAACUCGCCGGAUUUCUCUCUCACAUUCCGUAAUAAAGGACUUUCAAUGUCUGCACAGAUGGGAAUUCUGCUGCCACCUUCUCAUUUCACAUUUCCUGCACUUUCUUUCCAAAGCACUCGCCUGCCUGAAAUAGAAUCAUAGUUUUUUUCAGUCUACGUGUAGGAAUUUAGUGGGAGAAUGGACAGGGUAUCUGUAGCUCCCUAUAAUUACCACACGAUGAAGUAAUGAUUUCCUGUUGACUAUAAGGUACUUAAAGGAGGCAGAAAUGUGAUCAGAGGUUUUACAGAGAACUGCACAUGAUUUUCUUUCGGAGAUGGUUGGAAAGGGCCCAUGAAGAGGCAGGAUGUCAGUGUUGACCCCGUAAGCCUUUAGGAAAGAGGAGGCAGCAGUCUUUUCCUGGCCUGCCACCUACUAGACCCCUCAUGAAUCCCCUGCCGUCAUGAGGUCUCUUCCCAAAGGGAUAUCCCCCCAUCCUCUGCCUUUUUAAACUGGAUUCCCACAAGGAUCAAUGUCCGUGUUUCUCUCUGCCUAGUUGAAUUUUCUCUAUCCUUCAAGACUAUCUCAGAUCAUACCUCUUCUGGGAAGGCUUCCUGAAUAGCUUGAGCUGGAAGUAAUUUCCCCUAUGUCUGAACACAGAAUCCCUAAUGAUUGCACAUUCUUGUGUUGCCCACACACAAAGAUAAUAGGCAGUAAUAAAAGCUAAUGAAACAAAUGACAUUAACUGAGCACUUACGUGCCAGGCACUAUCUUUUCACUUUACAUGUUGAAGCCAGAAUUCUUACAGUUACUUUAUGGGGUAGGUUAUAUUAUUAUUCCCAUUUUACAGAUGAGGAUCCUGAGACAUAUCGUGAUAUGAUACCUAAUCAGAUCAGAAGCUCCACUUACCAUCUCUUUGACUUAUUGAUUUGUCUCUUUCACCGCACAAAGCUCAGGGCCUUGCAAUCAGUAAUUGCUUGGCUAAUAUUUGUCUAUUAAUGUGCUUAAUGGAACUUGAGACCAUGAAAGUAGAAUUUGAAAAACAUUUCUGAUGGUCAGAUACGCUACUUUUCAUCUUCUGUCAACAGGGAAAGACUGUGAAAUGAAAUGGCUGGGGUUGAUAAAAAUCACCAUAACAAAAACAAAUCCUUAGUUAAUAUGCACAGUAUGCCAGAUGCUGUGGUAAGUGAUGUAUGUUCAUUACAUUUCUUAAUCUCAGGUUUUCCCCCACUAAAGGAUCAGAGAGAGAUUGAAAACUGCUUGCAAUAAGAUCAAAUAAAGAUGAAGGCAAAGGGAAUACAAAUGUUUUAAGUUAGAAAAAUCCUAAGUUUAGUUAUUACCCCAAAAUGAAUGUUCUAAGGAUCCUCCUUUGGUAGUGAGACACAAGUUUGACUCUAAGUUUUCUAGUGUUUAUGGCAAAAGCAGACGCACAAUCAAUUAUAGUACCUACACACUAAGAUAAAGACAAACCAGCUAUUUGAAGGUAGCACUCAUAAAUGUUGAAUCAAACCAUUUCUUCUUACAAUUCUCAACAUAGACCAUUCUCAUCUUGCAGAAGAGCAGAAUGGUAAAAUCCAUUCUAGGAGGAGGCAGAUUAUUGGGCUUCAGUAUGCAGUUGAGUUCGGCUUAAUGUACAAUAUCUAAGAGCUGGAUGGACUGUACAUGCUUCAGAAAAAUUCUCUAUGAAUAUUAUUUCUCAUAACCACUGUGUCAUACUAUCUGUGCCAGACAAUUAUCCUUCCCCUUUCAACUAAAAGCUGCAUAGGUAUUUUGGUAUAACUCUUAUUAACACCUUUAGAAUUAGCAUGCCAGGAAUAAUGUUUGGAAAACCUAGUCCUGUAGGCAAUAUGGAACUUUAAAAACUGACUUUUCCGUGGGGUAAAUGAAAUCCAAACUCCCUCGUAUUAUUUAUGGUACUUUUCACAACCUGAUCUCAACCUGCUUUCUAGACCGAAUUUAUUAUCCUCCUGUUAGCACCUUCGUGCUUCCUUCAAACCAGUCUCAUGAAAACACUCAGUGCUUUUACUCACUGAAACCUCAUAGACGCUUCCUAGAAACCUCUCUUCUCUUUCCCUUCUCCCCUGUUUCUCCGCCUAGUGGGUCUUGAAGGACGUCGCCUUUCCUGCAAACCCCGCUUCCAUCUAACAAUUAAUUUUACCCUUUACUAGAGUCCUACGGCAUCUUGCUAAUAUCACAUUUUAUUAUCCUCCUUUGUUAGCAUCUCUGAUUUUUCUGCCAAACUGUGAGCUCCUCCAGGGUAGAAUGUGUUUUAUUUACCUUUGUAUCUCAGCACUGGGCACAUAGUCUGACCUGGACUCAUUUCACCAAGUAUUUAUUGUUUCCUGCACUGACAAAGCGAGCUGGGACAAUUCUUAUUCUAAGAUGCUACAUAAAAAAAAAAUGUUACUCCACAGGUGACCCACGUAUGUUUCUAUUAUUCUCUGAAGCCGUUUGGUGCUAUGCAGAUUGAUUAAUCCAUAUUAUUUGGUAUAAAAAGGAUAAUAUAGUAAAUGAGUUGAACUACACAUGGAAUGCACUAAACUCUUUUUUUCUCAGCAUUUUCCAGAUUUGAAAAGCUUCAAAGGAAGCUGUACCUGUAUGUUGCCAUUUAUUUCAAGUUUUUUCUCUUUUUGUGUAAAAUCUGUCAUGCCAAAGAAUUUUGCUUGUGUUUGGUAUGCGGAUGAAUCACUUCAGCCACCAAUAAAAUGUACAGCCCUUACAAGUAAAACAGAGCAACUAUCCCAGAAGACCUUGACAAUAUUACAGCAGAGCUAAGAGCCACCUGGAACAUCAAAUCAAGAAGCAUCCUUGAAAGGCUCAGAUUUUGAAUUGCAAAGUGAUACCCAAAACAUCUAGCUAUUAUUCAUAGAGCUGGGCAAGAAGAAAUAAAACAAGUGGUGGAUUUUUAAAAGAGAAUUUUGGCUUGCAUCUUUUAUACAUGAGGUGGAUUAUUCUCAAGGAGACAGAAAAAGAAAACUACUUUCUCCGUUCUGGAAGUAUCUGGAUUCAGAUUACAUACAGAUAAGAUGAUGCAAAAUCUGAGACUCUCCCUUCGUGGACCACAGGAGCAUCUAAACAAAUCAAGAUCCAGGUUAUAGGAUCCAGCUUUUUAGGUGGUAGCAACAUGCUUAAGGAAGAUGCAGCCCUUCCUCCAGCCUGAGAGAAUGAAGCAUCAUUGGCUUAUAUCAACCAUAGCAAUCCCAUUUCCCUUUUCUCAUGAUUUAUUUGGGAAUGGGCAAGUGACCCAGUCCUGACCAAUGAGACCAAAGAAACAGUCUAUUGGUCAGCUCAUCUCAGAAGAUUUUUGUUUCCUGCUAUGAAGAGAAGCAGUAAGUUUCUUCCUGCCUGACUUAAAUGCAAUUGUGUGCAAACAUGUUACUUGGAGCUACAGCAAUCAUUUCCUGACGGUGAGGCAAUAAUCCAAGGACAAAGGAUAGAAUAGUGAAAAGACAGAGUAUUGGGUUUUUGAUGAUAUCAUUCAACUGCUGGACCAAUCUGGAACCACCUGCUUUCAGUCAUUCAUGAUUUGUGAGAUUAUCAAAAAUUUCUAUUGUUUUA